GGUAACGGCCCACCAAGGCGACGACGGGUAGCUGGUCUGAGAGGAUGGCCAGCCACAUUGGGACUGAGAAACGGCCCAGACUCCUACGGGAGGCAGCAGUGGGGAAUCUUGCGCAAUGGACGAAAGUCUGACGCAGCGACGCCGCGUGUGGGAGGACGCCUUUCGGGGUGUAAACCACUGUUGCCCGGGACGAACAGCUUCUUUCGAGGAGCCUGACGGUACCGGGUGAGGAAGCACCGGCUAACUCCGUGCCAGCAGCCGCGGUAAUACGGAGGGUGCGAGCGUUGUCCGGAAUCAUUGGGCGUAAAGGGCGCGUAGGUGGCGGGAUAAGCGUGCGGUGAAAGCUCGGGGCUCAACCCCGAGUCGGCCGUGCGAACUAUUUUGCUUGAGCACUGUAGAGGCAGGCGGAAUUCCGGGUGUAGCGGUGGAAUGCGUAGAGAUCCGGAAGAACACCGGUGGCGAAGGCGGGUCUCUGGGCCGAUACUGACGCUGAGGAGCGAAAGCGUGGGGAGCGAACAGGAUUAGAUACCCUGGUAGUCCACGCCGUAA
Molecule: ribosomal RNA, 549 nt
Filed under: uncultured Actinomycetes bacterium
Lineage: Bacteria; Bacillati; Actinomycetota; Actinomycetes
Description: bacterial SSU rRNA
Rfam family: Bacterial small subunit ribosomal RNA
Source: RNAcentral